RNAcentral lists this ribosomal RNA (327 nucleotides) under uncultured eukaryote. RNAcentral describes it as "partial 18S ribosomal RNA". It matches the Rfam family "Eukaryotic small subunit ribosomal RNA", at positions 1470 to 1796 of the family's 1831-position model. The record is from RNAcentral.
CCCUUAGAUGUUCUGGGCCGCACGCGCGCUGCACUGAUUCAUGCAACAAGUUUUGUCCUUGGCUGAUAGGCCUGGGUAAUCUUUGAACGUGAAUCGUGAUGGGGAUAGAUGAUUGCAAUUAUUCAUCUUCAACGAGGAAUUCCUAGUAAACGCAAGUCAUCAGCUUGCAUUGAUUACGUCCCUGCCCUUUGUACACACCGCCCGUCGCACCUACCGAUUGAAUGGUCCGGUGAAAUCUUCGGAUCUGAGAGAUGUCUGAUUAAUUUCGGACGCCUUUUGGAAAAGUUGUUUAAACCUUACCAUUUAGAGGAAGGUGAAGUCGUANCA